CCGUAAUUUAAGGCGUGUGGUGGAUGCCUAGACACCAAAAAGCGAAGAAGGACGUAGCAAUCUGCGAUAAGCCUCGGGGAGCUGAUAAGCAAGCUUUGAUCCGGGGAUUUCCGAAUGGGGAAACCCAGCAUUGUAAAACAAUGUUCUCGUGUCUCACUAAUGUUCGGCACAAGGAUAUGAAUUUUUAAUUUUAAAUUUUUAAACAAUUUUUAAUGUUAUAAUUUUUAAACUAUGCUUAAAAAGUAAUUGGUUUAGAAAUUAAAAUUAAGAAUUAAAAAUUCUCUGUGGCGAGCGGUAGCGAGACACGAGGCAUACCCGCUGAAGUGAAACAUCUCAGUAGGCGGUGGAAAAUAAAUCAAUAGAGAUUCUCCUAGUAGUGGCGAACGAACGGGGAACAGCCCAAACUCUUUUCAGUGUUUGUUGGGGCGGCGCGAUGUUUAAUUAUAUCUCGUCAAACCGAUGAUAAAGGCGCAGGCCGUUGCUGAUUUGAGGGUUGUAAGGCAAUUGCGUUUUUGUUUCUUGCGAAAUAAAGGAUUAGUUACAAAGAUUGUUGUUAGCCAAAUGCCACUGGAAAGCGGCAACCAAAGAAGGUGAUAGUCCUGUCGGUGAAAACAAUAAUCCUAAUCAGCGAUUGUUCUUGAGUAAAGCGAGACACGUGAAAUCUUGCUUGAAGCCGGGUCGACUAUGAUCCAAGGCUAAAUAUUUUUGGCGAUCGAUAGUGAACUAGUACCAUGAGGGAAAGGUUAAAAGCACCCCGGUGAGGGGGAUGAAAUAGUAUCUGAAACCACAUGCUGACAUAGAAUGGGAGCAUUUCGCUUCACUUUGCGUUCUGAACGAUUUUUAAUUUUAAAUUUUAAAAUAAAUCUAAAUUUUAAAUUUUUAAACAUUGGAAUUUAAAAAUUAUUUAAAAAUUAAAAAUUGGAAAUUAAAAAUUGGAACACGGAGCGAAGCGAAGUGUGACCGUGUGCCUAUUGAAGAAUGAGCCAACGAGUUUGUGUAUGUUACUUGUUUAACCCCGCAUUGCGGGAGAAGGCAAAGGGAAACCAAGUCUUAACUGGGCGUAUACCUUUUAAUAUUAUUGGCUUGACCUUUAAGCUAAUAAUAUUAAAAUGGUAAGGUAGCAUGUACAAGACCCGAAACCAGGCGAGCUAGCCAUGGACAGGAUGAACCCUGAGUAAAAUCAGGAGGAGGUCCGUACCCACCAGCCGUGCAACACUGGGGGAUGAGCCGUGGUUAGGGGUGAAAUUCCAAUCGAGCUUGGUAAUAGCUGGUUCUCCUCGAAAUAGCUUAUGGGCUAGCGUCUUUUGUUCGCACCCAGGGGUAGAGCACUGGAAGGAAGUGGAGUGGUUCGCCAUAUCCCUUUCUAUCAAACUCCGAAUACUGGGUGUUUAAAAAGGCAGUCAGACUACGGGGGCUAAGCUUCGUUGGUCUAAAGGGGAACAGCCCAAAUCUUAAGUUAAGGUCCCCAAAUCUACGUUAAGUGUGAAAGGCAGUGGAUUUUUUUAUACAACUAGGAGGUUGGCUUAGAAGCAGCCAUCCUUUAAAGAAAGCGUAAUAGCUCACUAGUCAAGAAUUUCUGCGCCGAAAAUUUACCGGGGCUAAAACGUAGUACCGAAACUAAGGGUCCCGAUUUUAUGUCGGGGCGGUAGAGGAGUGUUCUAUAUCCGUUGAAGUCGUUUCCGUGAGGAACGGGGGAGGAUAUAGAAGUAAGAAUGUUGGCAUGAGUAGCAAAAAGGCCGGUUGGAAACCGGCCCACCGAAAAUCCAAGGUUUCCUGGGCAACGUUAAUCGGCCCAGGGUUAGGCGAUCCUAACUUUGCGUCCGAAAGGGCGCAAGGGAUGGAAGAGCAGGUUAAUAUUCCUGCCCUGUACAGAUAUUAUCCUCGCAUUGACGCAUUUUGAAGCUGGGAGCAUAUUUUGGCUAUAUAUGUUUAUGCCGACGAAAGUCGGGAUGAAGAAGCAAAGCCUCCGGGUAGAGCGAAUUUCCAGUAACAGGGUGCCGGGAAAAGAUGCGUUGUUAAGUAUAUGUGCAACCGUACCGUAAACCGACUCAGGUGGGUGAGGCGAGAAGCCUAAGGUGAACGAGAUAACCCUUAUUCAGGAACUCGGCAAAAUAACGGGCGUAACUUCGGAAUAUGCCCUUCCCGAUUUCUUAUAUUUUUUAAAUAUGGGACAUCGGGACGCAGUUAAAGAUCUCUAGCGACUGUUUACCAAAAACACAGGUCCCUGCUAAAGUCGUAAGACUAUGUAUAGGGGCUGAUGCCUGGCCAGUGUCAGAACGUUAAGCAGAGAGGUGCAAGCCUUGAAGCCAAGCGCUGAUGAACGCCGGCGAUAACUAUAAUCGUCCUAAGGUAGCGAAAUUCCUUGACGGG
This 2370-nucleotide ribosomal RNA is filed under the name Candidatus Kuenenbacteria bacterium RIFCSPHIGHO2_12_FULL_42_14. Its description in RNAcentral is "bacterial LSU rRNA". It matches the Rfam family "Bacterial large subunit ribosomal RNA", at positions 1 to 1976 of the family's 2925-position model. The record is from RNAcentral. Lineage: Bacteria; Candidatus Kueneniibacteriota.